GUGUGUGUGUGUGAAUUCUUUUCUUUAUCUGAGAAUUGGCUUUCUAGGUGAGGAAAUUUCAUGAGAGACUCCUUGUGACAUGUGACAAGAGGUUGGGAGUGACUUGGGUUAAGGUCAUUUUCCAAGUGUUUCACACCAAGUCUUUGUUUAACGGGAUAGCAGUGGUCUUAAAGAACUGAACUAAGUGGUUGAAAUAGAGGUUUCAGUUACUGAAAUGUGAAGAGACUCUGGGAUGUGUGUUCUUCCUAGCCUGUGGUCACAGGCACUCAUAAACUCAUAGGAUUUGAACUGUGUCUUCCUAAUGUCUUUUGCUUUCUGCCCUUGUAUGUAGUGGAGGCCCCAGUUCCGGUGACUAAAGUUCCUAAGUAACAGUUUUCUGAGCAAAGAGGCUCUCUAGAAAAGAGCAGUGCCUGGGAACGUGAUCUAAAAAUUUAAUAUAGCCUGUGAUGUAAUUUUUGUUAGCUUCACCCAAGAUAUGAUCAUUCAAAGAUCUAGAGAGAUGCACCUGCUUCGGUAUCUACCAUUGGAUUUUUCAAAUGAACAUACAGUAAGAUUGGAUCGGUUUUCUUUCUUAUUAUUUAUUUAUUUAUUGGUGGCUGCACUGAGUCUUUGUUGCUGCACGAGGCUUUCUCUAGUUGUGGAGAAGGAGGACUACUCUCUAGUGGCGGUGCAUGCACUUCUCAUUUCAGAGAGUUUUCUUGUUGAGGAGCAUGGACUCUCGGCUUGAGGGCUUCAGUAGUCGAAGCAGGGUAUGCUAUUUUCUGUUCUCCAAACCAAAGAGACCAGGAUGCCAGUUCCAAAGGAAUCAUCAGGACUGUUGACUAGAAGACAGAAUGGAGAAUUGGAAUGAUCUUCACAGGUGAUGCAGAGCCCUCCCUUGGAUCUCACCUGCAGCAAAGCAAGCACCAAGAUCAGUUCCAGAAAACGAUAUUCCUAAACGACAGCCACCCAUCUGCCCAAAGACAACAUUGGGUCAUUGUGCAGUGUGCCCUCUGCCCAGAACCAGCCAAUCGGGGCGCAGCGCCGGCCACCAAGGAUUUCUGAGACUCCCUGAGUUCCUGCCCGUGUUUCCGUGGAUCCGCGUGUCGCUCGAUACCAAGGUCAACAGGUGGAUUUACCGGGCCACUUCGAGAGGUUGCCUUCCUUUCUCUCGCUCUCAUGGGGAUCCCUCUUAACUUCUGCAUCCACGAUGUCCAGUCCUCUCUGCUAAAACCCAACAAAAAUGUUGGCUUUUCUUCCGGGCUUGUGGCGUUUUGGUUUCUGUGGCCGCCAGGUGGCAGUGUUGCUCCAAGUGUCACCAUCCCCUGUCUCCCCCGCCCUUUGCGAUUGAAAAAAAUGACACGAAACCUUUUUCUAAAAUAAACCACAGAUAGUUUUCUC
Dama dama (fallow deer) is the source of this 1380-nucleotide long non-coding RNA. RefSeq lists it as uncharacterized. The transcript has 4 exons. Lineage: Eukaryota; Metazoa; Chordata; Mammalia; Artiodactyla; Cervidae. The record is from RefSeq and is a predicted model, not a curated record.